UACAGAGUUUGGACUUUAAUCUGUGGGCAA
This 30-nucleotide non-coding RNA is filed under the name Mus musculus (house mouse). The record is from RNAcentral. Lineage: Eukaryota; Metazoa; Chordata; Mammalia; Rodentia; Muridae.